This 907-nucleotide ribosomal RNA is filed under the name uncultured Bacillota bacterium. Its description in RNAcentral is "bacterial SSU rRNA". It matches the Rfam family "Bacterial small subunit ribosomal RNA", at positions 1 to 906 of the family's 1533-position model. Lineage: Bacteria; Bacillati; Bacillota. The record is from RNAcentral.
UGGAUCCAGACUUUGAUCCUGGCUCAGGACGAACGCUGGCGGCGUGCCUAACACAUGCAAGUCGAACGAAGCUUGACGAAUGAUUUCUUCGGAACGAAUUUUGAUAUGACUGAGUGGCGGACGGGUGAGUAACGCGUGAGCAACCUGCCCUUCAGAGGGGGAUAGCGUUUGGAAACGAACGGUAAUACCGCAUAAAGUAUUUUAACCGCAUGAUUGAAAUACCAAAACUACGGUGCUGAAGGAUGGGCUCGCGUUGGAUUAGAUAGUUGGUGGGGUAACGGCCUACCAAGUCGACGAUCCAUAGCCGGACUGAGAGGUUGAACGGCCACAUUGGGACUGAGACACGGCCCAGACUCCUACGGGAGGCAGCAGUGGGGAAUAUUGCACAAUGGGGGAAACCCUGAUGCAGCAACGCCGCGUGAAGGAAGACGGUUUUCGGAUCGUAAACUUCUGUUCUUAGUGAAGAAUAAUGACGGUAGCUAAGGAGCAAGCCACGGCUAACUACGUGCCAGCAGCCGCGGUAAUACGUAGGUGGCAAGCGUUGUCCGGAAUUACUGGGUGUAAAGGGAGCGCAGGCGGGAAGCCAAGUCAGCUGUGAAAACUACGGGCUUAACUUGUAGACUGCAGUUGAAACUGGUUUUCUUGAGUGAAGUAGAGGUUGGCGGAAUUCCGAGUGUAGCGGUGAAAUGCGUAGAUAUUCGGAGGAACACCGGUGGCGAAGGCGGCCAACUGGGCUUUAACUGACGCUGAGGCUCGAAAGUGUGGGGAGCAAACAGGAUUAGAUACCCUGGUAGUCCACACUGUAAACGAUGAUAACUAGGUGUGGGGGGUCUGACCCCUUCCGUGCCGCAGCUAACGCAAUAAGUUAUCCACCUGGGGAGUACGACCGCAAGGUUGCAACUCAAAU